This 497-nucleotide ribosomal RNA is filed under the name uncultured bacterium. RNAcentral's name for it is "partial 16S ribosomal RNA". It matches the Rfam family "Bacterial small subunit ribosomal RNA", at positions 28 to 507 of the family's 1533-position model. The record is from RNAcentral.
GAUGAACGCUGGCGGCGUGCCUAAUACAUGCAAGUCGAGCGAACAGACGAGGAUCUUGCUCCUCUGACGUUAGCGGCGGACGGGUGAGUAACACGUGGAUAACCUACCUAUAAGACUGGGAUAACUUCGGGAAACCGGAGCUAAUACCGGAUAAUAUAUUGAACCGCAUGGUUCAAUAGUGAAAGACGGUUUUGCUGUCACUUAUAGAUGUAUCCGCGCCGCAUUAGCUAGUUGGUAAGGUAACGGCUUACCAAGGCAACGAUGCGUAGCCGACCUGAGAGGGUGGUCGGCCACACUGGAACUGAGACACGGUCCAGACUCCUACGGGAGGCAGCAGUAGGGAAUAGUCCGCAGUGGGCGAAAGCCUGACGGAGCAACGCCGCGUGAGUGAUGAAGGUCUUCGGAUCGUAAAACUCUGUUAUUAGGGAAGAACAAAUGUGUAAGUAACUAUGCACGUCUUGACGGUACCGAAUCAGAAAGCAACGGCUAACUACGUG